CCAGCUCAGAGAGGUCAGUGAGGGAAACCCCACUCUCUCUGACUCAAAGUUCACUCUGACUUGAAGUUCACUCUGCCAGGGGCUGCCCUGGGGGACAGGAAAGAGGUCCUGCCUUUUUUUUUUUUCUUUUUCUUUCUUUUUUUUUUCUUUGAGACAGUCUUGCUCUGUUGCCCAAGCUGGAGUAAAGUGGCAUGAUCUCAGCUCACUGCAACCUCCACCUCCCG
RNAcentral lists this long non-coding RNA (224 nucleotides) under Homo sapiens (human). Its description in RNAcentral is "non-protein coding lnc-PDE8B-6:1". Lineage: Eukaryota; Metazoa; Chordata; Mammalia; Primates; Hominidae. The record is from RNAcentral.